This 103-nucleotide microRNA precursor is filed under the name Suid alphaherpesvirus 1. Its description in RNAcentral is "microRNA prv-mir-LLT12 precursor". Its record names the gene prv-mir-LLT12. The record is from miRBase by way of RNAcentral. Lineage: Duplodnaviria; Heunggongvirae; Peploviricota; Herviviricetes; Herpesvirales; Orthoherpesviridae.
GUGUGUGUGCGACGGAACGGGCCGCAGAGGAUCGGGAUGUAUGCACGGUCGUCCCCGUCUCAAACUUCCUCGUGUCCCCUGUUCCCCAUCCUUCCACCCAUGC